GACGAACCGAGCGAACGUUAUUCGGAAUCACUGGGCUUAAAGGGCGCGUAGGCGGGCUCGCGAGUCAGGGGUGAAAGCCCCCAGCCCAACUGGGGAAGUGCCUUUGAUACUGCGAGCCUCGAGGGAGGUAGGGGCGUGCGGAACUUCCGGUGGAGCGGUGAAAUGCGUAGAUAUCGGAAGGAACACCGGUGGCGAAAGCGGCGCGCUGGACCUCUUCUGACGCUGAGGCGCGAAAGCCAGGGGAGCGAACGGG
RNAcentral lists this ribosomal RNA (253 nucleotides) under uncultured bacterium. RNAcentral describes it as "partial 16S ribosomal RNA". It matches the Rfam family "Bacterial small subunit ribosomal RNA", at positions 524 to 776 of the family's 1533-position model. The record is from RNAcentral.